Molecule: ribosomal RNA, 301 nt
Filed under: uncultured bacterium
Lineage: Bacteria
Description: partial 16S ribosomal RNA
Rfam family: Bacterial small subunit ribosomal RNA
Source: RNAcentral
CAGUCGCCACGGUAAUACAGAGGGUGCAAGCGUUAAUCGGAAUUACUGGGCGUAAAGCGCGCGUAGGUGGUUCGCCAAGUUGGAUGUGAAAUCCCCGGGCUCAACCUGGGAACUGCAUCCAGAACUGGCGAGCUAGAGUAUGGUAGAGGGUGGUGGAAUUUCCUGUGUAGCGGUGAAAUGCGUAGAUAUAGGAAGGAACAUCAGUGGCGAAGGCGACCACCUGGACUGAUACUGACACUGAGGUGCGAAAGCGUGGGGAGCAAACAGGAUUAGAUACCCCCGUAGUCCCUGUCUCUUAUAC